UACGGGGGGGGCAAGCGUUGUUCGGAAUUACUGGGCGUAAAGGGCUCGUAGGUGGCCAACUAAGUCAGACGUGAAAUCCCUCAGCUUAACUGGGGAACUGCGUCUGAUACUGGAUGGCUUGAGUUUGGGAGAGGGAUGCGGAAUUCCAGGUGUAGCGGUGAAAUGCGUAGAUAUCGGAAGGAACAUCAGUGGCGAAAGCGGCUUCCUGGACCAGUACCGACGUUCAGGCACGAAAGCGUGGGGAGCAAACAGG
This 253-nucleotide ribosomal RNA is filed under the name uncultured bacterium. RNAcentral describes it as "partial 16S ribosomal RNA". It matches the Rfam family "Bacterial small subunit ribosomal RNA", at positions 524 to 776 of the family's 1533-position model. The record is from RNAcentral.